Molecule: ribosomal RNA, 253 nt
Filed under: uncultured bacterium
Lineage: Bacteria
Description: partial 16S ribosomal RNA
Rfam family: Bacterial small subunit ribosomal RNA
Source: RNAcentral
UACGUAGGGUGCAAGCGUUAAUCGGAAUUACUGGGCGUAAAGCGUGCGCAGGCGGUUCUAUAAGACAGAUGUGAAAUCCCCGGGCUCAACCUGGGAACUGCAUUUGUGACUGCAUGGCUGGAGUGCGGCAGAGGGGGAUGGAAUUCCGCGUGUAGCAGUGAAAUGCGUAGAUAUGCGGAGGAACACCGAUGGCGAAGGCAAUCCCCUGGGCCUGCACUGACGCUCAUGCACGAAAGCGUGGGGAGCAAACAGG